Molecule: ribosomal RNA, 318 nt
Filed under: Triticum aestivum (bread wheat)
Lineage: Eukaryota; Viridiplantae; Streptophyta; Magnoliopsida; Poales; Poaceae
Description: partial small subunit ribosomal RNA
Source: RNAcentral
AUGAGAAUCUAUGUUGUCGACAUGGGAAUCGAUGCCGUUACAGCAUGGUCUAGCACGAGCGCCGCCGCGGUCGGCUGCCUCCACCAUGAAUGUCGGCCGCCGCCGAUCUCCUCGCCGGAUCUAGCCGCCCAAGCUCUUGUGGGCUGCAGUAACGCCCGCGAAGUCAAUCGCCAUGGUGUGCAAGCUCCUAUGGCGGAGUGUUCGAAGGCGACGAGGCUUUGGAGGCGGUUUUGUUUUUGCAGCAAAGGGCAUAUUGAAGAGCACUGUUUCAUAAAAAACUCAAAUUAUUUUUCUGCAACAAGGUCUUUGUUGCGAUAA